GAGGAGGGUCUUCCGCAGGGGGGGCUCGGGGGGUCUUGGUCUGGGGGUUUGGGGCUUUCGGGGCGAGCUAACGGUAACGGGGCGUCUAUGACAUGCGCCUGGGGGAGGGUGCACGUCUGGCUGAGGCUGGAUGAGGAGGAGGGAGAGGAGAGAGAGGAGCAGGACUCACCCGGAGGAUCUCUCUGGAGAUGUAGGCGAUCCAGUCCUCCUUCAGCUGGUUUCCUUUGGUGUUUUUGACCAGGUCUGUGAUGGAGCCGGCGCCGCAGAACUCCAUCACCAGCUGAAAACACAACAGCGUUGAUUAUAGACGGGGCCGAGUCCUCGUCCAUUCCUCCAGGUCAGUUUUAGAGACCGUAGAGAAGACAAACCCAGAGCUGGUCGUCGUGUCCCGGCGGGCUCUUCUUGAUGAACGCUCCGUAGUACGUGGCGAUGUUCCUGUGGUGCGAAUACUUCUUCAGCAUGUUGAUCUCCAGCUUGAUCUCCUCCUCUUCAUCCUGAAACACAAAGUCACAGACCAGGGUUUAACAGGCAGCAGGAAGACACAGUCA
This 548-nucleotide long non-coding RNA is filed under the name Neogobius melanostomus (round goby). RNAcentral describes it as "lncRNA (ENSNMLG00000005841.1)". The record is from RNAcentral. Lineage: Eukaryota; Metazoa; Chordata; Actinopteri; Gobiiformes; Gobiidae.